UACAGAGGUCUCAAGCGUUGUUCGGAUUCAUUGGGCGUAAAGGGUGCGUAGGUGGCGCCGUAAGUCAGGUGUGAAAUUUCGGAGCUUAACUCCGAAACUGCAUUUGAUACUGCGGUGCUUGAGGACUGGAGAGGAGACUGGAAUUUACGGUGUAGCAGUGAAAUGCGUAGAUAUCGUAAGGAAGACCAGUGGCGAAGGCGGGUCUCUGGACAGUUCCUGACACUGAGACACGAAGGCCAGGGGAGCAAACGGG
RNAcentral lists this ribosomal RNA (253 nucleotides) under uncultured bacterium. Its description in RNAcentral is "partial 16S ribosomal RNA". It matches the Rfam family "Bacterial small subunit ribosomal RNA", at positions 524 to 776 of the family's 1533-position model. The record is from RNAcentral.